CUCCCUCUGAUUUCAGCAGAACCACCACGAAUCUAAAUCUGUUAUUUCUUCAUCUUGAUACCCUAAUCAACACCCGUAUACCAGAAAUCUAGAUCUAUAACUUUUUAACUUGAAAUUUUCCAAACAUUAGAAAAUUGAUUUUGUUCCUGAUUUUGAAAACCAACACACAAUCUGAUAGUUGCAAUCGAUUAUCAACUAAGAUUUGGUUGAUUCGUGAGGAUUGCAGGGAAGAAGCUAUGUAAAAUUACAAACAAGCAGCAAGCUGAGUGAUCCUUCACUAGCUUCACAUCUCCUAGCUGUUCGACAAAAAGUCCCAAAAGAAACAACAUUGGCAUUCCGGGGGUUAAACCUAAUUUAGAAAGUUGUGGACGAAAAGGGUAGUCACACAGAUUAUGUGUUUGGUCUUGAUCCGAACAAGAAUCUUAAACAAGCUUCAAAAUUUAGGUAGACUGUAUCUUCUGUUUCAUUAAAUUUAAGAAAUUCUGCUAAUUGUACAGAAUUUUGUUGUUGUACCUUAUAGUUUCAAGGUGCAUUUACUUGAGUACAUCACCUGGAGAUUUGCAGUUUUAGAGUGUUUCAUUUUAUUUAUUUUUUGUUUUGCUUCAUGGUGAGGACUAUUGGUAUUGGUUUAAAUUUUGGUGGUACUAGAGGUGGUGGUAAUGUUGUUGUUGGUGGUGGUGGUUGGAGACACACUGAUCUACAUCAUCCUCAUGAUAAUUAUUACGCCAUUGAAAACAAUCAUCCCACCAGCAAUAUCCAUAAUCCAGUGCUCUCAGGUAAUCCUUCUCCAGCGUCUCCUUCUUCUUCACAUAGUGUGCUAACCAGUGUUGGACCAAUCUGAAGUAGUACUGCUAGUUUUGGAUCUGUGCUCAUAGAAGGGAGAUUCAGGAACGAUGCUGCUUGUUGUGAUAUAGCAAAGGAUGAAAAAGGAAAGCGACGGCAUCAACAUCUGCUACUGGUUCAUUACCUGUUAUAAACCCAACUGUUAUUAGAUGAAAGCUUGGCAGUCCAAGAACUUAGAGGAGAGAAGAUGAAGCACAUCCCAGGAGACAGAAAAGGUGUGGCACCUGCUGCAUACAUGGACAUAACAAGACUACUUGUCAGGGUGGGAAACAACUAAAGGAAAGAAGGGAUUUUCAAGUUGCAAGUGCAGUUGGUAGGAAUUUUGCAUCCACUAGAGUAAGGAAAGGCAUUGGAGCACACUCUACAGCAGGAACUAAAGGUGAUCUGUGCAGAGGUUCAACUGGAUCAGCUAGCUGCUACUUUUACUAUCACAGCUCUGUCGACAGGAGGUCGUGGCAAAGCUACACUAACUAUUAGUGAUGGAGUUGGAGCUGCACCACAAGCUAAUAUUUUUAAAGAUGAGUGACAACGAGGUAAUUUGUCAUAAAGUUGUGUAUAUAAAUGUUGCUCAAAUUAGUGCAAUACGUUGCCUAAAUUAAUGUAAUCGUUGCACAAAUUUAAGAAUCCGUUGGUGAAAUUGUAGAA
Molecule: long non-coding RNA, 1488 nt
Organism: Papaver somniferum (opium poppy)
Lineage: Eukaryota; Viridiplantae; Streptophyta; Magnoliopsida; Ranunculales; Papaveraceae
Exons: 6
Source: RefSeq, a predicted model, not a curated record